UACGUAGGGUGCGAGCGUUGUCCGGAAUUACUGGGCGUAAAGAGCUCGUAGGUGGUUUGUCGCGUUGUUCGUGAAAACUCACAGCUUAACUGUGGGCGUGCGGGCGAUACGGGCAGACUGGAGUACUGCAGGGGAGACUGGAAUUCCUGGUGUAGCGGUGGAAUGCGCAGAUAUCAGGAGGAACACCGGUGGCGAAGGCGGGUCUGUGGGCAGUAACUGACGCUGAGGAGCGAAAGCGUGGGGAGCGAACAGG
Molecule: ribosomal RNA, 253 nt
Filed under: uncultured bacterium
Lineage: Bacteria
Description: partial 16S ribosomal RNA
Rfam family: Bacterial small subunit ribosomal RNA
Source: RNAcentral